GACGAACGCUGGCGGCGUGGAUUAGGCAUGCAAGUCGGACGGUAGAGCUUUAUCGUAAGAUAGAGUUUGAGAGUGGCGAACGGGUGAGUAACACGUAGGAAUCUACCCUUAAGACGGGGACAACCCAGGGAAACUUGGGCUAAUACCGGAUGAGAGUGCGAGAGAUUGCAUUUAAAAGGAUGGCGAAAGUUGUCGCUUAGGGAUGAGCCUGCGGUCUAUUAGUUAGUUGGUGAGGUAAGAGCUCACCAAGGCGAUGAUAGAUAGGCGGCCUUAACGGGUGGUCGCCCACACUGGGAUUGAGAUACGGCCCAGACUCCUACGGGAGGCAGCAGUCGAGAAUAGUCUACAAUGGCCGGAAGGCUGAUAGUGCGACGCCGCGUGAACGAGGGAGCCCUUCGGGGUGUAAAGUUCUUUUCUAUACGAGCAGUGCUAUAUAUAUGAUAGUAAUAUAGAGGAUAUAGUAUAGGAAUAAGCAACGGCUAAACUCCGUGCCAGCACG
Molecule: ribosomal RNA, 499 nt
Filed under: uncultured bacterium
Lineage: Bacteria
Description: bacterial SSU rRNA
Rfam family: Bacterial small subunit ribosomal RNA
Source: RNAcentral